Long non-coding RNA from Paramisgurnus dabryanus, 408 nucleotides. RefSeq lists it as uncharacterized. Lineage: Eukaryota; Metazoa; Chordata; Actinopteri; Cypriniformes; Cobitidae. The record is from RefSeq and is a predicted model, not a curated record.
GAUACUGUUGUAUAAUCACUUUUGCUUUACUUCAAUACAGAGAGCCUUGGGUAAAAAAAGGCAGAGUACCAGUCAGUGGUUAAAGACACACAAAAUGUGGACAUCAAAACAAAUGGCUACAUUUGCUCGUGAGGAAGAUGAUAACGAAGAGGAUGAGACUCCUUCAAACCAUAAGAUAGUGGAUGAUUCACACUCAACUGCAAAGCAAUGAAAGAACACAUCUGUCACUAAAUUGAACCCAGUCACCUUGGAUUAUGCCCAAAAGUGUGAGAAUUACAAGAAACUCACCAGAACUGUGAUGGACUCCAUUUCCACCUUAGAAAAAAUGACAACAUGCUCCGUCACAGGGAAAAAGGGACCACUGGUGAACAAAGACAGAGUCCUGACAGAGAAAGUGAAGCUAGUAAU